This 61-nucleotide transfer RNA is filed under the name Entomoneis sp. RNAcentral describes it as "tRNA-Arg". It matches the Rfam family "tRNA", at positions 7 to 64 of the family's 71-position model. From Rfam's summary of the family: Transfer RNA (tRNA) molecules are approximately 80 nucleotides in length. Their secondary structure includes four short double-helical elements and three loops (D, anti-codon, and T loops). Lineage: Eukaryota; Bacillariophyta; Bacillariophyceae; Surirellales; Surirellaceae. The record is from RNAcentral.
UGUAGCUCAGUGGAUAGAGCAUCAGAUUCCGAUUCUGAAAGCCAAGGGUUCGAUUCCCUUC